AGAGUUUGAUCCUGGCUCAGGACGAACGCUGGCGGCGUGCCUAACACAUGCAAGUCGAGCGGGGAGGAGGAAGCUUGCUUCCGAAUCCUAGCGGCGGACGGGUGAGUAACGCGUGAGCAACCUGCCUCAAACAGGGGGAUAACGCAUCGAAAGAUGUGCUAAUACCGCGUAAGACCACGGUACCGCAUGGUACAGGGGUCAAAGGAGCAAUCCGGUUUGAGAUGGGCUCGCGUCCGAUUAGCUAGUUGGUGAGAUAACAGCCCACCAAGGCGACGAUCGGUAGCCGACCUGAGAGGGUGAUCGGCCACAUUGGAACUGAGAAACGGUCCAGACUCCUACGGGAGGCAGCAGUGGGGAAUAUUGGGCAAUGGGCGAAAGCCUGACCCAGCAACGCCGCGUGAGGGAAGAAGGGUUUCGGCUCGUAAACCUCUGUCCUAUGGGACGAAGGAAGUGACGGUACCAUAGGAGGAAGCCCCGGCUAACUACGUGCCAGCAGCCGCGGUAAUACGUAGGGGGCGAGCGUUGUCCGGAAUGAUUGGGCGUAAAGGGCGCGUAGGCGGCCCGUUAAGUCUGGAGUGAAAGUCCCGCUUUCAAGGUGGGAAUUGCCUUGGAUACUGAUGGGCUCGAGUGCAGGAGAGGAAGGCGGAAUUACCGGUGUAGCGGUGAAAUGCGUAGAGAUCGGUAGGAACACCAGUGGCGAAGGCGGCUUACUGGACUGUAACUGACGCUGAGGCGCGAAAGUGUGGGGAGCAAACAGGAUUAGAUACCCUGGUAGUCCACACUGUAAACGAUGAAUGCUAGGUGUGGGGGCGAAAGCUUCCGUGCCGCAGUUAACACAAUAAGCAUUCCACCUGGGGAGUACGGCCGCAAGGUUGAAACUCAAAGGAAUUGACGGGAGCCCGCACAAGCAGUGGAGUAUGUGGUUUAAUUCGACGCAACGCGAAGAACCUUACCAGGACUUGACAUCCCUUGACUACGCCGUAAUGGGCGGUCUUGAACUUCGGUUCAACAAGGUGACAGGUGGUGCAUGGUUGUCGUCAGCUCGUGUCGUGAGAUGUUGGGUUAAGUCCCGCAACGAGCGCAACCCUCGUUCUAUGUUGCCAGCGCGUUAUGGCGGGGACUCAUAGGAGACUGCCGGGGUCAACUCGGAGGAAGGUGGGGACGACGUCAAAUCAUCAUGCCCCUUAUGUCUUGGGCUUCACGCAUGCUACAAUGGCCGGUACAAAGGGUUGCGAUACUGUGAGGUGGAGCUAAUCCCAAAAAGCCGGUCUCAGUUCGGAUUGAGGUCUGCAACUCGACCUCAUGAAGUUGGAGUCGCUAGUAAUCGCAGAUCAGCAACGCUGCGGUGAAUACGUUCCCGGGCCUUGCACACACCGCCCGUCA
This 1383-nucleotide ribosomal RNA is filed under the name uncultured bacterium. RNAcentral describes it as "bacterial SSU rRNA". It matches the Rfam family "Bacterial small subunit ribosomal RNA". The record is from RNAcentral.